RNAcentral lists this ribosomal RNA (253 nucleotides) under uncultured bacterium. RNAcentral's name for it is "partial 16S ribosomal RNA". It matches the Rfam family "Bacterial small subunit ribosomal RNA", at positions 524 to 776 of the family's 1533-position model. The record is from RNAcentral.
UACAGAGGUCCCGAGCGUUGUUCGGAGUUACUGGGCGUAAAGGGUGCGUAGGCGGUUGUUUAAGUUUGGUGUGAAAUCUCCCGGCUCAACCGGGAGGGUGCGCCGAAUACUGAAUGACUAGAGUGCGGGAGAGGAAAGUGGAAUUCCUGGUGUAGCGGUGAAAUGCGUAGAUAUCAGGAGGAACACCGGUGGUGUAGACGGCUUUCUGGACCGUAACUGACGCUGAGGCACGAAAGCGUGGGUAGCAAACAGG